This 356-nucleotide ribosomal RNA is filed under the name Alexandrium margalefii. Its description in RNAcentral is "partial Bacterial large subunit ribosomal RNA". It matches the Rfam family "Bacterial large subunit ribosomal RNA", at positions 2549 to 2925 of the family's 2925-position model. Lineage: Eukaryota; Dinophyceae; Gonyaulacales; Pyrocystaceae. The record is from RNAcentral.
GGGGCUGGAGAAGGUCCCAAGGGUUGGGCUGUUCGCCCAUUAAAGUGGCACGCGAGCUGGGUUCAGAACGUCGUGAGACAGUUCGGUCCCUAUCUGUUGUGGGCGUUAGAAAUUUGAGAGGACCUGCCUCUAGUACGAGAGGACCGGGGUGGACGUACCUCUAGUGUACCUGUUGUGACGCCAGUUGCAUCGCAGGGUAGCUACGUACGGAUGAGAUAAGCGCUGAAAGCAUCUAAGCACGAAACUCACCUCAAGAUGAGAUAACUUUUAAGGGCCGUGGAAGACGACCACGUUGAUAGGCUACAGGUGUAAAGACGGUAACGUCAAAGCCGAGUAGUACUAAUUACCCGUAAACU